AGCGAACGCUGGCGGCAGGCCUAACACAUGCAAGUCGAACGAACUCUUCGGAGUUAGUGGCGGACGGGUGAGUAACACGUGGGAACGUGCCUUUAGGUUCGGAAUAACUCAGGGAAACUUGAGCUAAUACCGGAUGUGCCCUUCGGGGGAAAGAUUUAUCGCCUUUAGAGCGGCCCGCGUCUGAUUAGCUAGUUGGUGAGGUAAAGGCUCACCAAGGCGACGAUCAGUAGCUGGUCUGAGAGGAUGAUCAGCCACAUUGGGACUGAGACACGGCCCAAACUCCUACGGGAGGCAGCAGUGGGGAAUCUUGCGCAAUGGGCGAAAGACUGACGCAGCCAUGCCGCGUGAAUGAUGAAGGUCUUAGGAUUGUAAAAUUCUUUCAACGGGGACGAUAAUGACGGUACCCGGAGAAGAAGCCCCGGCUAACUUCGUG
This 433-nucleotide ribosomal RNA is filed under the name uncultured bacterium. RNAcentral's name for it is "partial 16S ribosomal RNA". It matches the Rfam family "Bacterial small subunit ribosomal RNA", at positions 29 to 507 of the family's 1533-position model. The record is from RNAcentral.